Long non-coding RNA from Drosophila sulfurigaster albostrigata, 903 nucleotides. RefSeq lists it as uncharacterized. The record is from RefSeq and is a predicted model, not a curated record. Lineage: Eukaryota; Metazoa; Arthropoda; Insecta; Diptera; Drosophilidae. The transcript has 2 exons.
GCAGCAGGUGACAGCAGCCAUGGGGACUUGUUCAACAUUCUGGUUGUAGUUGUUUGCACCCACUUUAUAAUUAGUUCAAUUCUAGUUUGUCGUGCUCGUGGAAAAGUGUCAAGGCUCAAGCGCUGGCAUUAACAACAAAGUUGUAUUUUGUGGCUUGUGUUUUAGGGCAACCUCUAAACCCCCCCAAAAAAUUUUAAUCAGAGUAUCGUUGAACUCUGUACACUAUUUAACAUUUCAAUUAGUGUCAACAGUGUUUAGCUGGAAAAAGUUGAAAAUACAUAAAAAUAAUCUAAUCACAAUAACAUUUAAAAAUAGUUGUGUAUUUUAAACAUGUUAUUGGAGCCAGAAGUUAUUGUGCAGACACAAAUGGAGGAAGUUUCGAGCGAGCGGCUUGAUGUGCCCAUAGUUCGACCCUUAGAAUUGGAUAUCGAAUCAGACGAUGAUCUUGAUGACUUGUGGGAUGAGAGUGCGGUCGGAGUUGAUGGCAUGUUCGAUGAAUUUCAAAGAGAGCUGUUGGCAUUUAUUGAAUCAUCAAUUAUCCGGGACUCGACACAGAAUGACAGUUCAUAGUUGCGGUAUAAAUAAACUGAACAUUUAUGGAGUGAAACGUUAAAUAAAAAUGUAGCAGAAAGCAGUACUUGCAACAAGCAUGACCAGAACACGCAAUCCCAGUUACACAAUUCAGCAAAUCGUCAGAGCAGAUAGAAAGGCGGCAUCCACGUGACACAGAGGACACACAAACAUCAACAGCAACAGGACUUACAAAACAGGAGCGGGAGCACGACCAAAAAGCAGAAUGAGAAACAUGUACAUACAAUAACAAAUGGCAGAUGUAACAAUGAGAAUAACAGCGACGAAAAUAAAAGAAUACGUUGUGGAAUGCUUUAUAGUUUUCCGCUGUUA